AAGGAUCAUUAUCAAAACAGCGGCCUUCGGGCCUCGCUGCACCCUUGUCUUUUGCGCACCGUAUUGUUUCCUCGGCGGGCUUGCCUGCCGGUUGGACAUCAUAAAACCUUUUUGUAGUUGCAAUCAGCGUCAGAAAAACAAUAAUUAUUACAACUUUCAACAACGGAUCUCUUGGUUCUG
RNAcentral lists this unclassified non-coding RNA (180 nucleotides) under uncultured fungus. RNAcentral's name for it is "partial contains 18S rRNA, ITS1, 5.8S rRNA, ITS2 and 28S rRNA". The record is from RNAcentral. Lineage: Eukaryota; Fungi.